AGAGUUUGAUUAUGGCUCAGAGUGAACGCUGGCGGUAGGCCUAACACAUGCAAGUCGAAUGGCAGCACAGAGGAGCUUGCUCCUUGGGUGGCGAGUGGCGGACGGGUGAGGAAUACAUCGGAAUCUACUCUGUCGUGGGGGAUAACGUAGGGAAACUUACGCUAAUACCGCAUACGACCUACGGGUGAAAGCAGGGGAUCUUCGGACCCUGCGCGAUUGAAUGAGCCGAUGUCGGAUUAGCUAGUUGGCGGGGUAAAGGCCCACCAAGGCGACGAUCCGUAGCUGGUCUGAGAGGAUGAUCAGCCACACUGGAACUGAGACACGGUCCAGACUCCUACGGGAGGCAGCAGUGGGGAAUAUUGGACAAUGGGCGCAAGCCUGAUCCAGCCAUACCGCGUGGGUGAAMAAGGCCUUCGGGUUGUAAGCCCUUUUGUUGGGAAAGAAAUCC
Molecule: ribosomal RNA, 448 nt
Filed under: uncultured Stenotrophomonas sp.
Lineage: Bacteria; Pseudomonadati; Pseudomonadota; Gammaproteobacteria; Lysobacterales; Lysobacteraceae
Description: bacterial SSU rRNA
Rfam family: Bacterial small subunit ribosomal RNA
Source: RNAcentral